AGAAUGCUACACGGAAAGGUCUAGCCAACCACCGUUACUCAGCCUUGGAACCGAAAAAGAAAUUUUAGGUUUAAGCGUAGGUGGAGGAGAUGGCGAGCCGUAUACGAAAGUGAGGGUAAUGAGCCCCGUUAGUCUAAAUGAGAAGGCCGAUGUGCUGGGACAAACAGCAGGCAACAUUCUUCUGGGCGUAAAAGGCGAGUACAGAAGGAC
Non-coding RNA from Clostridiales bacterium GWC2_40_7, 210 nucleotides. NCBI's taxonomy places the organism in Bacteria, Bacillati, Bacillota, Clostridia, Eubacteriales. The record is from Rfam.